UCCGCGCCCGCCCUCAGGCGGCUCCCUCAGGAGCCCGGCCCCGUUCCCCAGCACGGGAAAUCUCCCCCCGGAGCAUGGCGGAGCUGGAUGAGGACCGGUACCGGUACCGGUGCCUCCCCGAGCCGCCUGCGCCUACACCGGCUGCUCCUGUGAGGAAAACGCGUGGAAGCUGUGCGACUGCAUCAGGAGUCGGGGGGAGCGCCCUGUGGAGGAGCUCUACGCGGUUUUCAUCUCCGACGAGAGGAGGAUGGCGAGUGGAUCCCGCUCUGGAAACAGAAGUCAGGGCACGGAGAUGAGCCUGUUGUCUGGCCGCGAACCGACAAGUGGUGCCCGAACAGGGACCUGUCAAACGGCGGCUGAAGCAGAGGGGCACCGGAACGCAGCGACCGGGGAGUCAAGAGCGAUCGAACACUAUUACAACGGUUGGUGUGUCGUCUCCGAAGACCUGAACUAAACAGUUCACCAUCUGCGUGGGCUACAGGGCAAAAGCUGCAGGCUGAUUACAGGGUGUGUCAGAAAGAAAGCGCAGAAGGAACAACUGUGCGCGUGCUGCAGCAAAGAGAAGGAGGAGUUCUCAAUUCGAUAAAGAGAACAGAGUACCAACAGGUGACCAAAACGAUAGUGCUGAAGAAGAGUUUGUGGAAAAACACGUUUCUGACAUAUGUCAAGUGAAACUUAACACUGAAAAGGAAAGCGCUAAGCUUUGUGGAUAUUCAACACCAAGAUGGGGAACUAUAGCUAAUGAAAAUCCAAGGUCAAAUGAUUCCUGGGCAUUUCAAGCAGUGACUCCUGAACGUUCUUGGGAAGAAGACCAGCAACAGACAAGGGAUGAGAACACUGUAAAAGUUCCUACAGAGACAGACUACACAGUUAUCGUGGAUCGCUCUGAGCUCAAAGUAUGUCUAAUUUCAGCUUUUUUUUAAUGCUCAAAUAGGACAUAUUCCUGCGACAUGUAAAAUUGCAAAUCAAGCCCAUUGUUAACCAAUACCAAUUAAAACAAUUAAUUGGAAGGACAUAUAGAUAGUGAAAUAAUUCAGCCUGUAAUGCACUGUGACUGUUUAGUUUCCACAGCUCGUGUAGAUUUCUGUAGGCUACCAUUUGCUUCUGGUCAUCUGUAGCUACAUACUCGCAGGCUCACACAGCUAGUGGACAGCUGUGGCAGUGGAAGAAGGUGCUGCCACUAGCUUGUCCCUGUUGCUGUGCCAGAGAUGAUCACCUCUGCAUCUUUGGUAAUAGAAAUGACUGUGUGAGAGAGAGGUGAUUGCUCCAAGCAGUCACUUUGCUAUUUACCCACCCCUGAAUUUAAAGGUAGGAUUGAGCAAACGAAUCCACCUUUGCUCUGGGCGUUUGAGCAAUCUGUUCUGCCAGCAGAGUUGUGGGCAUGGCACACGUGGGUAAAGGUAAUCACCUAAGGGUGCUUCCUUUUCCAGCUGGCACAGCUGUAUCUACAAGAUCUGCAGCCUUUUUACAGUGCCCCGCGCUGCUGCAAUGCUUCUCUAAUGAACUGCAACAGUGGCUUUGCUGUGGCAGCAGCUGUCCUACAACGAGGAUCGUGUCAUUCCCUGCUGCUUUGGGAGCAGUCGACUUGCAAUUACGACCAUGGAUGUGAUAGAUUGAUUAGUAGUAAAGAUUGUCUGAAAUUUCAGCCUUUCCUUUCUCUGAACUAUGAAAAAUUAACUCAUUUUCCCUGCUGAAAUCUCAUGGGAUAUUUAAUCUGUUCUCUGAAUUGUCACAUUUUAUUUAAUAGCAUAAGAAAAAGUAGGAUGUCACUUGUAUUGUUACUGUUCAACCUCCGAAAACAUAUAGAGCGUAUUCAAAGGAUCUUGUACUUUUUGUGUACUUUUUGCUCAUUAUAAUAUCAUUAUAAUAGCAAAACACACCUCCAUCCCAAAAGCUACCCGCCUCCAAGGUGCGACCACCCCUCACUGAGCAUGCGCCCUGAAUUUCCUAUUAUUUUAAAG
Anas platyrhynchos (mallard) is the source of this 1961-nucleotide RNA transcript. RefSeq lists it as uncharacterized. Lineage: Eukaryota; Metazoa; Chordata; Aves; Anseriformes; Anatidae. The record is from RefSeq and is a predicted model, not a curated record.